GAGCUUGCUUCGGCAGCACAAAUACUAAAGUUGGAAUGACACAGAGAAGAUUAGCACGGCCCCUGCUCAAGGUUGACAUCCAAAUUCAUGAAGCGUUCCAAAUUUUU
Molecule: small nuclear RNA, 107 nt
Filed under: Dasypus novemcinctus (nine-banded armadillo)
Lineage: Eukaryota; Metazoa; Chordata; Mammalia; Cingulata; Dasypodidae
Source: RNAcentral